GAUGAACGCUGGCGGCGUGCCUAAUACAUGCAAGUCGAGCGAACGGACGAUAAUCUUGCUUCUCUGGUGUUAGCGGCGGACGGGUGAGUAACACGUGGAUAACCUACCUCUAAGACUUGGAUAACUUCGGGAGACCGGAGCUAAUACCGGAUAAUAUUUUGAACCGCAUGGUUCAAAAGUUAAAUACGUUCUUGCUGUCACUUAUAGAUGUAUCCGCGCUGCAUUAGCUAGUUGGUAAGGUAACGGCUUACCAAGGCAACGAUGCAUAGCCGACCUGAGAGGGUGAUCGGCCACACUGGAACUGAGACACGGUCCAGACUCACACGGGAGGCAGCAGUAGGGAAUCUUCAGGCAUGGGCGAAAGACUGACGGCGAAACGCCGAGUGAGUGACGACGGUCUUCGGAUCGUAAAACUCUGUUAUUAGGGAAGAACACAUGUCUAAGGAAAUGUGCACAUCUUGACGGUAACUAAUCAGAAAGCCACGGCUAAAUAAGUG
RNAcentral lists this ribosomal RNA (497 nucleotides) under uncultured bacterium. RNAcentral describes it as "partial 16S ribosomal RNA". It matches the Rfam family "Bacterial small subunit ribosomal RNA", at positions 28 to 507 of the family's 1533-position model. The record is from RNAcentral.